This 839-nucleotide ribosomal RNA is filed under the name uncultured organism. Its description in RNAcentral is "SSU rRNA". It matches the Rfam family "Bacterial small subunit ribosomal RNA", at positions 615 to 1466 of the family's 1533-position model. The record is from RNAcentral.
UCAAUUGUGCCAUUAAUACUGGUUAACGGGAGUACAGACGAGGUAGGCGAAAUAAGUUAAGUAGCGGUGAAAUGCAUAGAUAUAACUUAGAACUCCGAUAGCGAAGGCAGCUUACCAGACUGUAACUGACGCUGAUGCACGAGAGCGUGGGUAGCGAACAGGAUUAGAUACCCUGGUAGUCCACGCCGUAAACGAUGCUCACUGGUUCUGUGCGAUAUAUUGUACGGGAUUAAGCGAAAGUAUUAAGUGAGCCACCUGGGGAGUACGUCGGCAACGAUGAAACUCAAAGGAAUUGACGGGGGCCCGCACAAGCGGAGGAACAUGUGGUUUAAUUCGAUGAUACGCGAGGAACCUUACCUGGGUUUAAAUGGGAAAUGCCGUAUUUGGAAACAGAUAUUCUCUUCGGAGCGUUUUUCAAGGUGCUGCAUGGUUGUCGUCAGCUCGUGCCGUGAGGUGUCGGGUUAAGUCCCAUAACGAGCGCAACCCUUACCGUUAGUUGCUAGCAUGUAAUGAUGAGCACUCUAACGGGACUGCCACCGUAAGGUGAGAGGAAGGCGGGGAUGACGUCAAAUCAGCACGGCCCUUACACCCAGGGCUACACACGUGUUACAAUGGCCGGUACAGAGGGCCGCUACCAGGUGACUGGAUGCCAAUCUCAAAAGCCGGUCGUAGUUCGGAUUGGAGUCUGUAACCCGACUCCAUGAAGUUGGAUUCGUUAGUAAUCGCGCAUCAGCCAUGGCGCGGUGAAUACGUUCCCGGGCCUUGUACACACCGCCCGUCAAGCCAUGGAAGCCGGGGGUGCCUGAAGUCCGUAACCGCGAGGAUCGGCCUAGGGCAAA